CCUGCUCGGGUCCCCUUCCACACUGUGGAAGCUUUGUUCUUUCACUCUUUGCAAUAAAUCUUGCUACUGCUCGCUCUUUGGGUCCAUGCUGCUUUUAUGAGCUGUAACACUCACCGCGAAGAUCUGCAGCUUCACUCCUGAGCCCAGCAAGACCACGAGCCCACCGGGAGGAACGAACAACUCCAGACGCGCUACCUUAAGAGCUGUAAUACUCACUGUGAAGGUCUGCAGCUUCACUCCUGAGCCAGCGAGACCACGAACCUACCAGAAGGAAGAAACUCCGAACACAUCUGAACAUCAGAAGGGACAGACUCCAGACGUGCUGCCUUACGAGCUGUAACACUCACCGCGAGGGUCCGCGGCUUCAUUCUUGAGAAGAUGAUAGAUGCAGACAUCACCACCAUUCUCCCUUAUACCAUCAUUCUCUUUUAUGUGAAAGUUGCCAGAAUCAAAAUGGAGUCACUAAUGUUUAAAGAAAGAAGAGCCCUGACAAAUCGAGCCACAGAAGGCCAUGAAGAGAAGGUUCUUUAUGCUUGUAUGCCUCACAAAAAAGACUCUGGAAAAAUCGUAUCCUUGCACAGAAGCCACCAGAAAUUUCCAUAAAAAACACUGCAAGAACAUCUGCCCCCGAACUGCCUGUCCAACCUGGACUGACAUCAUCCUUGUUAUUGAUCUUUGUAGCCAAAUAUAAUUAUUUUAAAACAAUUGUGCAAUUCGCCUCUUUUCUUUAAAAAUCUUUGUCUUCCUUUACCUCCCUGAAUAUGCACAUAGUUUACUAUGACGGGUAUAUUCUCAUUGCAAUACUCUAUUCCCAAAUAAAUGUCUUUUUCUUUUAGAGAGCCUCCCUUUGUUAUUUAGGUUGACUUAUAUGGUGUCACUUGAAAGUGAUGUCUGGAUCCGCAGCAACCAUCUUACAACCUUGAAGUGACAAGCUGGAAGAAAAGGCCAGAAGAUGCACAUAGAGUUUAAUCCUGACAGAGAUGAGUUACUGAAGCAAUGCCAGUGACCUCCUAUCCGCUAAUUUACUAUUACUUAACAAACUUUUUUCUUUUUUUUUUUUGAGACAGGGUCUCGCUCUGUCACCCAGGCUGGAGUGCAGUGUUGUGAUCUCAGCUCACUGCAAACUCCAUCUCCCAGGUUCAAGCGAUUCUCAUGCUUCAGCCUCCUGAUUAGCUGGGAUUACAGGGGUCUCCAGUGCCUGGGCCAUAGACUGGUACCAGCCCAUGGCCUGUUAGAAACCAGGCCGCACAGCAGGAGGUGAGCAGCAGACAAGCAAGCAAAGCUUCAUCUGUAUUUACAGCCACUCCCCAUCACGGGCAUUACUGCCUGAGCUCCGCCUCCUGUCAGAUGGGACCAUGUAGAUACAGGAAAACAAGCUCAGGGCUCCAACUGAUUCUACAUCAUGAUAUCCUUUCAGGUCCUGCACACCAGUGAAACUAAUGAGGUCAGCUGAUCUGAAGGACCCCAUCGACAUCAGCAGUUCUGAAGGAUCACACAAGGAGCUGACUCACUGAAUGCAGUUUCCACAUCCUGACGACUUCAUCCCUUUGACCCCAACCACUCAAUGACCCCAAUUUUCCAGUCCCUCAUUCUCCACAAUCCCCUUAAAAACCCCAGCCCAGAACUCCUCAGGGAGAUGGACUUGAAGAUCUCCUCUCAUCUCCUUGCUCAGCCACCCUGCAAUCAUUAAACUCUUUCUCUGCUGCAAA
Long non-coding RNA from Pan troglodytes (chimpanzee), 1709 nucleotides. RefSeq lists it as uncharacterized. The record is from RefSeq and is a predicted model, not a curated record. Lineage: Eukaryota; Metazoa; Chordata; Mammalia; Primates; Hominidae. The transcript has 5 exons.